GUUGAACCUGUAAUGGAGAAGAGUAGGUCAGACUGCAUGUAAAGAGAGGAACCGCCUAGGCUGAAAGCGGCUCUGCAUUGCAUCUUUCUCGAAACAACACUCCGGAGGUUUCCUGCUGAACGCUGUGCUUUUUUGCAAACGUCAUUAGGCAGAGAACGUGAACCUGCGUUAAAGGAUUGAGCGGGAACAUUUCAUAUGUUCCAACUAGGGUGGCACCACGGGUAUAACUCUCGUCCCUACU
This 241-nucleotide non-coding RNA is filed under the name Bacillus atrophaeus. RNAcentral's name for it is "T-box sequence". It matches the Rfam family "T-box leader". From Rfam's summary of the family: Uncharged tRNA acts as the effector for transcription antitermination of genes in the T-box leader family. T-boxes are found upstream of many aminoacyl-tRNA synthetase genes and some amino acid biosynthetic genes usually in Gram-positive bacteria. The anticodon of a specific tRNA base pairs to a specifier sequence within the T-box motif, and the NCCA acceptor tail of the tRNA base pairs to a conserved bulge in the T-box antiterminator hairpin. The record is from RNAcentral. Lineage: Bacteria; Bacillati; Bacillota; Bacilli; Caryophanales; Bacillaceae.